This 254-nucleotide ribosomal RNA is filed under the name uncultured bacterium. RNAcentral's name for it is "partial 16S ribosomal RNA". It matches the Rfam family "Bacterial small subunit ribosomal RNA", at positions 524 to 776 of the family's 1533-position model. The record is from RNAcentral.
UACAGAGGGUGCGAGCGUUUGUUCGGAAUUAUUGGGCGUAAAGGGCGCGUAGGCGGUGCGGUAAGUCCCCUGUGAAAUCUCCUGGCUCAACUGGGAGCUUGCAGGCGAAACUGCCGUGCUGGAGUGUGGGAGAGGUGAGUGGAAUUCCCGGUGUAGCGGUGAAAUUCGUAGAUAUCGGGAGGAACACCGGUGGCGAAGGCGGCGACCUGGGACGAUACUGACGCUGAGGUGCGAAAGCGUGGGGAGCAAACAGG